RNAcentral lists this ribosomal RNA (506 nucleotides) under uncultured bacterium. RNAcentral's name for it is "partial 16S ribosomal RNA". It matches the Rfam family "Bacterial small subunit ribosomal RNA", at positions 28 to 523 of the family's 1533-position model. The record is from RNAcentral.
GAUGAACGCUAGCUACAGGCUUAACACAUGCAAGUCGAGGGGUAACGAGAGGGAAGCUUGCUUUCCUUGUCGACGACCGGCGCACGGGUGAGUAACGCGUAUCCAACCUGCCCCCAACUAGGGAAUAACCUUGCGAAAGUAAGACUAAUACCCUAUAAUUUCCUCAGAUGCCAUCUGACGAGGAAUAAAGAUUUAUCGGUUGUGGAUGGGGAUGCGUCUGAUUAGCUUGUUGGCGGGGUAACGGCCCACCAAGGCAACGAUCAGUAGGGGUUCUGAGAGGAAGGUCCCCCACAUUGGAACUGAGACACGGUCCAAACUCCUACGGGAGGCAGCAGUGAGGAAUAUUGGUCAAUGGGCUGAAGCCUGAUCCAGCCAAGUAGCGUGCAGGAUGACGGCCCUAUGGGUUGUAAACUGCUUUUAUACAGGAAUAAAGUUAGCCACGUGUGGUUAUUUGUAGGUACUGUAUGAAUAAGGACCGGCUAAUUCCGUGCCAGCCGCCGCUGUAA